AGACGAACCGUACAAACGUUAUCCGGAAUCACUGGGCUUAAAGGGUACGUAGGCGGCCUGGCAAGUUGGGUGUGAAAUCCCUCGGCUCAACCGAGGAAUUGCACUCAAAACUGCUAGGCUUGAGGGAGAUAGAGGUGAGCGGAACUCAGGGUGGAGCGGUGGAAUGCGUUGAUAUCCUGGGGAACACCAGUUGCGAAGGCGGCUCACUGGGUCUCUUCUGACGCUGAGGUACGAAAGCUAGGGGAGCGAACGGGAUUAGAUACCCCGGUAGUCCUAGCUGUAAACGUUGAGCACUAGAUCGGAGGAUUUCGGUUUUCCGGUCGUAGCGAAAGUGUUAAGUGCUCCGCCUGGGGAGUAUGGUCGCAAGGCUGAA
This 373-nucleotide ribosomal RNA is filed under the name uncultured bacterium. RNAcentral's name for it is "bacterial SSU rRNA". It matches the Rfam family "Bacterial small subunit ribosomal RNA", at positions 523 to 898 of the family's 1533-position model. The record is from RNAcentral.